CCCUUAGAUGUUCUGGGCCGCACGCGUGCUACACUGAUGCAUUCAACGAGUCCAAAACCUGGUCUGAUAGGGCUGGGUAAUCUUUUGAAAGUGCAUCGUGAUUGGGAUAGAUGAUUGCAAUUCUUCAUCUUCAACGAGGAAUGCCUAGUAAACGCAAGUCAUCAGCUUGCAUUGAUUACGUCCCUGCCCUUUGUACACACCGCCCGUCGCUCCUACCGAUUGAAUGAUCCGAUGAAUACCAUGGAUUGAGAGUACGAAUAGGUUCGCUUAUUUCUGCUGCUCGAGAAGUGGAGUAAAUCUUAUCAUUUAGAGGAAGGAGAAGUCGUAACA
This 330-nucleotide ribosomal RNA is filed under the name uncultured eukaryote. RNAcentral describes it as "partial 18S ribosomal RNA". It matches the Rfam family "Eukaryotic small subunit ribosomal RNA", at positions 1470 to 1796 of the family's 1831-position model. The record is from RNAcentral.